GGGGCUGUAGCUCAGCCAGGUAGAGCGCCUGGCUCAUAACCAGGUGGCCGUCGGUUCAAACCCGGCCAGCCCCA
This 74-nucleotide transfer RNA is filed under the name Thermoplasmatales archaeon B_DKE. It matches the Rfam family "tRNA". From Rfam's summary of the family: Transfer RNA (tRNA) molecules are approximately 80 nucleotides in length. Their secondary structure includes four short double-helical elements and three loops (D, anti-codon, and T loops). Further hydrogen bonds mediate the characteristic L-shaped molecular structure. tRNAs have two regions of fundamental functional importance: the anti-codon, which is responsible for specific mRNA codon recognition, and the 3' end, to which the tRNAs corresponding amino acid is attached (by aminoacyl-tRNA synthetases). tRNAs cope with the degeneracy of the genetic code in two manners: having more than one tRNA (with a specific anti-codon) for a particular amino acid; and 'wobble' base-pairing, i.e. permitting non-standard base-pairing at the 3rd anti-codon position. RNAcentral also lists the same sequence under 2 other names. The record is from Rfam by way of RNAcentral. Lineage: Archaea; Methanobacteriati; Thermoplasmatota; Thermoplasmata; Thermoplasmatales.